Molecule: ribosomal RNA, 253 nt
Filed under: uncultured bacterium
Lineage: Bacteria
Description: partial 16S ribosomal RNA
Rfam family: Bacterial small subunit ribosomal RNA
Source: RNAcentral
UACGUAGGGUGCAAGCGUUGUCCGGAAUUAUUGGGCGUAAAGAGCUCGUAGGCGGUCUGUCACGUCGGCUGUGAAAACUCGGGGCUCAACCCCGAGCCUGCAGUCGAUACGGGCAGACUAGAGUCCGGCAGGGGAGACUGGAAUUCCUGGUGUAGCGGUGAAAUGCGCAGAUAUCAGGAGGAACACCGGUAGCAAAGGCGGGUCUCUGGACCGGAACUGACGCUGAGGAGCGAAAGCGUGGGGAGCGAACAGG